AGUUAGGGUGGCCGAGUAGGCGGCGAGUUGUAGCCUCGUGCACGGGCCAAGAAGCCCCCCUGUCAA
This 66-nucleotide transfer RNA is filed under the name Cyrtodactylus philippinicus. RNAcentral describes it as "tRNA-Tyr". Lineage: Eukaryota; Metazoa; Chordata; Lepidosauria; Squamata; Gekkonidae. The record is from RNAcentral.